UACGAAGGGGGCUAGCGUUGUUCGGAAUUACUGGGCGUAAAGCGCACGUAGGCGGAUUGUUAAGUCAGAGGUGAAAUCCCGGAGCUCAACUUCGGAACUGCCUUUGAUACUGGCAAUCUAGAGUCCGGAAGAGGUUAGUGGAAUUCCCAGUGUAGAGGUGAAAUUCGUAGAUAUUGGGAAGAACACCAGUGGCGAAGGCGGCUAACUGGUCCGGUACUGACGCUGAGGUGCGAAAGCGUGGGGAGAAACAGG
Molecule: ribosomal RNA, 252 nt
Filed under: uncultured bacterium
Lineage: Bacteria
Description: partial 16S ribosomal RNA
Rfam family: Bacterial small subunit ribosomal RNA
Source: RNAcentral